GGGAAUGUAGCUCAGUGGCACAGUGCCUGCCUGGCAAGCAGAAGGUCCUGAGUUCAAUUCCCAGCACCA
RNAcentral lists this transfer RNA (69 nucleotides) under Cavia porcellus (domestic guinea pig). It matches the Rfam family "tRNA". From Rfam's summary of the family: Transfer RNA (tRNA) molecules are approximately 80 nucleotides in length. Lineage: Eukaryota; Metazoa; Chordata; Mammalia; Rodentia; Caviidae. The record is from Rfam by way of RNAcentral.